RNAcentral lists this ribosomal RNA (492 nucleotides) under uncultured bacterium. Its description in RNAcentral is "partial 16S ribosomal RNA". It matches the Rfam family "Bacterial small subunit ribosomal RNA", at positions 29 to 507 of the family's 1533-position model. The record is from RNAcentral.
AGUGAACGCUGGCGGUAGGCCUAACACAUGCAAGUCGAACGGCAGCACAGUAAGAGCUUGCUCUUACGGGUGGCGAGUGGCGGACGGGUGAGGAAUACAUCGGAAUCUACUUUUUCGUGGGGGAUAACGUAGGGAAACUUACGCUAAUACCGCAUACGACCUACGGGUGAAAGCAGGGGAUCUUCGGACCUUGCGCGAUUGAAUGAGCCGAUGUGGGAUUAGCUGGUUGGCGGGGUAAAGGCCCACCAAGGCGACGAUCCGUAGCCGGUCUGAGAGGAUGAUCGGCCACACGGGAACUGAGACACGGUCCAGACUCCUACGGGAGGCAGCAGUGGGGAAUAUUGGACAAUGGGCGCAAGCCUGAUCCAGCCAGACCGCGUGGGUGAAGAAGGCCUUCGGGUUGUAAAGCCCUUUUGUUGGGAAAGAAAAGCAGCAGGUUAAUACCCCGCUGUUCUGACGGUACCCAAAGAAUAAGCACCGGCUAACUUCGUG